Molecule: long non-coding RNA, 2025 nt
Organism: Panicum virgatum (switchgrass)
Lineage: Eukaryota; Viridiplantae; Streptophyta; Magnoliopsida; Poales; Poaceae
Exons: 2
Source: RefSeq, a predicted model, not a curated record
UUUAGGGGGUUACUUUAGUCUAUUUUCAUAACGGCAGUGUUGUGUAAUUUAUUAGAAAAGAUAACAGAUCCAAUGACUAUUAUGAUAAGAGUUGUUGGAUGGAUGACUUGAUGUUUAUGAUUUUUGUGAAAAUUUCUAGAAUUUCUCUAUCUUUUUAGAGUGUCCACUUAGGUUCCUAGGCGGUUUGUAUUUAUCUUCAAGAGUCUACUCCUUCCGUUCCGGAAAGUGAAGAGGGAGAGAGAUGUAGGGUGGGGCCUACAUGGCAGAAAUGCCAUGUCAUGGUCAAUGUAGUCAAAACCAUCGCCACGUCAGCGCUAAGCCACCUAAAACGAGUAUAGGUGCCAAAGUUGCAUGAUAUUAGAACUUAUAGUGUCCAUUGUACCCGGUUUUGUAGUUGGGGGUCAAAGUUAGACAAACCCAAUAGUUGAGGUGCCAAAAAUGAACUUUUUCCUUUAUUAAUAAAGCAUACUUGGAUAGCGUUGAAAUCCAUUUCAGUCAAAUUUGAACGGCAAGGCCAACAAAUCGGAGGUUUCUUUUGAACCUCCCACGUUCAUUGAAUUUUUUUAAAUAAUAAAAUUUUGAUAGGUAAUCGCAAAAAUAAAUGUCGAAUAAAAAUAAAUGUAAAUAUUGGUGUCUGUCGGCCCUUCAAAAGCCAACAGGAAACCUAUGAGCUAUCCAAAAGCCGAUAGGUACUUAUCGGCUAUAGAAGGGCCAACUAGUGCUACCACAUCAGUAGCAGCCGCGUGGCCUCACGCUAGCUAGACCUGUCGGCGUGAUAGGGGACCUAUAGGCCACGCAAGAGCUGACAGGUCUAUCGGACCGAUAAGGGCACCAAUCGGCCGCUUAGUAGCCGAUAGGGGUAUCGGCUCAUUUACCCUCCUUCUACUCGGCCCUCCAUUCACCACGCCUCCUCUUUACUGCCGACUCCUACCACUACAACAUAGAUGACCUUCUGCGAAGAAUUUCUCGUGACGAUAGAGCUAUUCAUCAUUGAAUAGCUAUUCGUCAUUGAAUACUUCUGUUUGUGAUGUUUCCUAGGAGUCGAUACACUUUAGUGACGAAACAUCACUAAAGUUAGAUGUCUGUAACUGCAAUUUUCACAAAAGGAGGUUCUGCUUUUAUAUUCUCUUUCCUUGCAGGCAAUAAUCGAUACGAGAUGCAAGAUCACAGGUACAUAUUUAACUAUUGGAAUUUACUUCCUUCUAUUUUAAUUCAAUUGCUUCUUUUGUUUCAAAAGAUUUAAUUGUUUCUAAAAAUUGUUUCAGAUUCAUUUGAUUAAUUCUGGCCACCUACAAGAGAUGUAACUUUCUGUUUGUCUUGGAGCCUGUCAAUUUUUUGCCUCUGUUGUUUAAUUACAAGUCAAGUGCAAAGUAUAGUGCUACUUGCAUAAUAGAUUUUAUUUACUAAAGGCAAGAGUAUAUACGCUGUUUUGGAUCUAGUUGCCCGAAGUAUCAUAUUGACAAUAAUUUGACUGUGCACAGUCCGCUCUAUCAAAGUAACAUUUUUUAUAGAAAAUUUUAUGACUUAAUAAUAUAAGUGAACUACAUUGAAUAAUAUCUAAAUUAACCAUUCCUUAUACUUUUUGAAAGAAAUCGUAUAUUUGAAUGCUUGUGCUUACAAGUUUGUGCUUCAUUUUUGUUUAGGAUGAUUAUUCAAAUAAAUAUAGAUAGCGAAGUUUCUUCAAUAAGAGUUUUCCUUCAAAAUUUGAAAAUCUAGGAAUCUAGUGUUCAUUCAGACAAGGACAUUUCUAUUUCAGCUUUAGAAUAGAGAUUUGGCUGAUGCAGAGUGAACUUGAACAGAGAGUCGUCAGUUUGCCAGGACAAAUGUAUUGACACUGCAGGUAUUGAGAUGAUUCCAAGGAUGAAGUAUGGAAACACAAGAAAGUUUACCCAUUUCAGAUGUCAUGUAUAUUUUACUUCUAGUCUGGAAUAUUGUAUAUAUUGUAUACCAUCCCUCUCUGUAUCAUUUUCUUCCAUGUACAGAACAACUUAUUGAAUGAAAAUGUAUGGUAUAUUUUAUAAUGAA